This 329-nucleotide long non-coding RNA is filed under the name Linum usitatissimum (flax). RNAcentral's name for it is "long non-coding RNA (LUSI_LNC005962)". The record is from RNAcentral. Lineage: Eukaryota; Viridiplantae; Streptophyta; Magnoliopsida; Malpighiales; Linaceae.
UUUAAAAAAGUAUACUUAUCGGUAAAAAUUGUAUUAAUUGAGGGAGUUAAAUAAAUACGAAUAAGUAAAUUUUAGCCGUCCAAGACACUGCAAUCCUCAAUCUACUCAAAAUACACAUUCUUUCCCUUGAAAUCAAACGCAACAUUGUAACGUUGCUGAGCCAUUAUCCCAAUUAUCCGACCCAACAAUAGCCAUGCAGAAUGUGUUCUCGUCGAUUUGUCUGAACACCCCUCUAUUUGUUGGGGCGCAGCGGACAAGAAUAGAGUAAAUAUAUUGCACUAAUAAACCACACACCGUAAAUAUUUCCCAGGUAAGUUGGAAGUGGCGGU